CCUGCGAGCGCGGGCUGCAGGAGGGCGAACAUCCCCGCCGGUGCCGCGCGCAGCCGGCCGGCACCCGACUUCUGCUCUGCGCCCCACUGCCGGGUCUUCUGCGAGCGGGGCGGGACCAGGGCGAGGGCGGGAGGCCCCGCCCCGCCCAAAGGCCCCGCCCCGCCUAGACCACUGCUCUUCCCUGGACGCGCCGGCACCCACGGGCGCGACUCGGAGCCUCAGAGACUAGCCUGACACGCCCUCUCGGAGACCCCAGGCCCCAGCCCUCUCGGGAUGCGGCGGCGGCGACCGCAGGACGGUGACAGGACUGCGCUGCUGUCCAAAGGACCCGCUCCUAGAGGGCCGAUCGCCGCGCGGAGCGGCGCGGCAGGUACACCCCAGGGGCUCUGGCCUCAGAGAUGGAGCACAAAACACCCCACAACGACCGAGACUAAGGGACCAAAAAGCCACCAGCAGCAGGCAGAUGGCAUCUCAGGGAGCAGAGCCCAUGGGCCCUUCUCCUCUCUGCUCCAGCCUCUAGCAGUGCAGCUGCCAAGCCCUUUGAAGCCAACAGGAGCUUGUAAAUGUCCUGACUAGAGAUGAAACAUGGUAAGACAUGAAGCCAGAGGCUGCAACACAGAUAAUCUCCACCGUUUUACAAGGAACAAGUCACGCCUAGAGACAGGUGCUGGGGGAGCUGAGGGGCUGGGGCGGAAGGAGAUUAUCAGCAGGUAACCCCCUUCCCAGCAGCCCCUCUCUUGUCUGCUGCCAGAACCUCACCAACCAUCUUCCCUGUGCGUCUUACCCCUAAGCUCUUCUAGCAGAGCCCAGGGCUAGGGGUAGGGUGACAAGUGGCCCUGGGGUUCCUGCCUCCUCCAGGCCAUGGAUACACUCACACAGAUGUGUGGUUUAUUCAUCCUGAGACUAUGUGGCCCCCGCAGAGGGAGCAAGCAGAGGCAGUGCGGUUUUAUGCACAUUCAUCUGGUCCUGCCACAGGCAGCCCCCUUUCAGGGCUCACUCUUUGGGGUAGGGAAAGAGAUGUCGUUGUUCAGUUGCUCAGUCGUGUCCGACUCUUUGUGACCCUGUAGACUGCAGCACGCCAGGCCUCCCUGUCCUUCACUAUCUCCCAGAGUUUGGUCUAGAUUCAUGUCCAUUGAGUAGGUGAUGCCAUCCAACCAUCUUGUCCUCUGUCACCCCCUUCUCCUCCUGCCCUCAAUCUUUCCAAGCUGAAGGUCCAAUACUUUAGCCACCUGAUGAAAACAGCAUCACUGGAAAAGACCCUGAUGCUGGGAGGGAAUGAGAUUCCACCAUUCUAGGGUGGAAUCUGCCUGGUCUAGAGGCCCAGGCACAGGGGGUUUGGGUGCAGAUGGUGUGCGUAAUAUAAACAACACAGUUACGAUAAAUAAAUAACUGUGCUAUCACUUGUGGAGUCA
This 1412-nucleotide long non-coding RNA is filed under the name Bos indicus x Bos taurus (hybrid cattle). RNAcentral describes it as "lncRNA (ENSBIXG00000029322.1)". Lineage: Eukaryota; Metazoa; Chordata; Mammalia; Artiodactyla; Bovidae. The record is from RNAcentral.